GAGCAUGGCCACGCUCCCGAACAUACAUAGAUACAGUAAAGUGGGAUCGCGAUGGUCUCUCCUCCGGAGGAAGUGGAUACAAUUGCUGACAAUGAUUCAAAUGAUGAUGGCAGCCGUCACCUGUGUCCGGAGCAACACCAGUGUGGAGGAUGGCACACUGAACGCCCAAGUCCCUCUUCUAUGACCUGAAUGGCCUUGGCGACACCCGGUAAAAGUGCACUUUCUGCUGCGUGGGCGGCCACAUCCUGGGCAAGGAAAACGUCGCCAAGAGCCAAGAGCGGAAUUCAACUUCAUGAUGGACCAGGAGGCAGCACACAUAGUCCUCGAGCGUCUGAAGCAACCGCUUUGAUCUUGCCUUGGGAGCCUUGCAUCGAUGGCGAAUUCGGGUUGACUCUGGCCUGGAUCAACUGAUCAACACAAUAAUUUCUUAUACGGCUUUCCUGCCCCAAGCGGACAAUGACGGCACGCCAUUAUGCAAGGUUGAGGAGGAACUGGAGCAGCAGCAGUCCUAGAACACAACACGCGUGGGGCAAUCUCAAACUACAAAAAUGUCUGGUGUAUAUAUUUCCUUGAUAAAUGUACAAUCAGUGAAUAAAUUGAUGCGAGUGUUCCAUAA
Drosophila persimilis is the source of this 616-nucleotide long non-coding RNA. RefSeq lists it as uncharacterized. The record is from RefSeq and is a predicted model, not a curated record. The transcript is spliced from 2 exons. Lineage: Eukaryota; Metazoa; Arthropoda; Insecta; Diptera; Drosophilidae.